CCGACGAAGGAGACAGCGCGGUAGGGUGCCCUCCGCGUGGCCGUUGAUGUUUAGUUUGAAACGAAACGGAACAGUUUGCAAGUCGCCGGCUUUGCGCAUGGCCGACUCACGCAGACGGUCUGUUGUGCUCAAUUCGUGAAUUUAUUUUAACAAUUCUGGAACUGUUUUCUAAUUUCAAUUAGACAGUGCCUUAUUAUUAAUGGAUGUGCUAGUGUAUGCAUGGAAUAACAAUCUUCAGGAGAACAGCGUCCAUGAAGAAUAAUUGCGUGUGGAUUUAUUGAUGCAUCUUGCAUUAGUGUCCUUUUGGACACGAAUAGAAUAACAUGCAUUCCAUAUUUUUAGACGAACAAUCGAAACUAAACUCACAAAGUGAUUUAUAAAAGUGCUCUUAUAAUACUAAUAAGUAAAAAUAUUUAAAAUAUAUUACAAUAAAUCGUUAUAUUUUUUAAUGUUUAUCUUUUGGAAUCUGCCUUGCCAUUAUUGCCACCACGACAUCCUCUAAGGUAUUCUACGUAUAUCAAGAUGAUACAAAGCAUUAGGUAAGACGUGUUCUUUCAUCGCAUCGCACAAAUGGGUAUUUAUAAAUUAAUCAUAUUCCAGUUUAUAUUUAGACUGGUUAUAAAUUACCACCAAAUUUGUCUAAACGAUUACUCAGUAACAGCGGUGAGACGGGUUAGAAGAUAAAUUUUCACUUAGAGCCAGAUUUAAAAAUGAUCUGUAUGUUCUGAUACGUGGGUUCAAAUUGAUUUGGCGUGAUACGUAAUAUAAAACAGAAGCGUGGCCAUUUAUUUAGUGUCCCGCAUCCAAUUACAAUCGUAAUGGUUUGUAGCUACUGUCUACUGUCAGUGACAUUUGUUGGGGCUGCAUAUCACACUGUCACGAACAAUAAAAGAUGGAGAAAGUGAUUUUUAAUUUAUUUUUAUUAGAACUCUGUAAUAUGUCGCUUUGAAGCCAACGUACCUGAUAUAUAAGCCUAAACGGCGUAAUUUUGUGUGAGAUGAAAAUGGUAUAGCGAUCUAGCCUGCGGUAUCGGUAUACACUGGCUGACCAGUAAGAGGUUGAUGGCUGAUGAACAUAAAAUCGAGUCAGUUGGAAAAUCGUGAUAAAUUCAUCAGAAAUUACCCACGAUGGUUUCAAUGGGAGCCACGUAGCAGUUGACCUGACAAAAAUAAUAACAAUUGCUAGCAAAGUGACUGUUAGACUCCAUUACUAACAAUUUUCUUCCCUUUCUGAAAUGCGUAGAUGUGACCUUUCAGCGAUGAGAUGUUAUUGCACGAGUCCUGUGAAGUUGUCGGGGCCUUUCUGCGCUUUUGUAUGGAGGUAGGAUGACUAUGUCAUCUAUAUGCUAAAUGACUCAUUUCGGAAAAUAUAGUACGUUAUGAUUCUGUUAAAUUAUAUCAAAUUAACAAGGCAAAGAUGAAAAACAAUUUUUACGAAGUUUUUGUAAAUUUUGAACAUUUUGGUCUAUAUAUAUAAUAAAUUGGACAUAAUAUAUAUUUAUUUUAUAGAAUAGAUGAAUACAAACGUAUCUUACAAAAUUCUCAAUAUGAUUAUAUCGUAAUAUUGUAAUUUACUUUUUGAAUUACCGAAAUUCUAAAAAUGAAUAUUUUGACUAGAUAAUUUUUCUAUAUUAAAUACUAGAGAUAAGGCCCGACCUCGUACAGUUAGAUAGAAUUUUUGAAAUAUUCAACAUAUUUAAUUGUAAAUAAUAUGUAAUAAAUGUUAUAAUAUGUAAUAAAAUUUAAUUUCUGACUUUAUUCAUUACAAAAAAACAAUCAAAUUUUAUUUAUUAAUAUAUAUCAUAUGAUCAUGAUAAUUUUUAGUUAUGAAUAUAGACCACGAGUCAUAUUGAAAUUUGAAUUCUGUAACUCAGACAGGACGUGAGUAAUCAACAAUAGUAAUUAAUUACUAAGAUAUGAGUAAAGCUGAUAUAAAUGAUAUAUAAAUUAUCUGUAUUUUACAGGAUAUACAAAGUUUUUUCUUUUUAAUUUAAUAUAAAGGCACAAUCACAAUUCACAAUAAGUAUUAAUUUAAUAAUAUAUAUUACGUGAUGUAAUUUAUGGUAAGCCAUAGUUUAAAGAGUUAUUAAUUUAAUUUAUUUUUGUUUAAAAAACUUAUAAAUUGACGUUGCGUCGUGGUCUCUAGUGUAGACUGUCUCGUAUUGGAUUGGUUAUUAACCGAAUUUAAAAAUAAGGAGGUUCUUAAUUCGAUUGUAUUUCUUUUCAUGUUUGUUACCUCAUUAGUUGUAAACCAAUUUGGUAAAAUUCUGUUUUUUAUUUAGAAGGAUAUUCAUAUAGAUGCCAUAGCAUUUUUUUUUU
Long non-coding RNA from Galleria mellonella (greater wax moth), 2318 nucleotides. RefSeq lists it as uncharacterized. Lineage: Eukaryota; Metazoa; Arthropoda; Insecta; Lepidoptera; Pyralidae. The transcript has 3 exons. The record is from RefSeq and is a predicted model, not a curated record.